Molecule: non-coding RNA, 226 nt
Organism: Pelobates cultripes (western spadefoot toad)
Lineage: Eukaryota; Metazoa; Chordata; Amphibia; Anura; Pelobatidae
Source: the annotation of a GenBank genome assembly
AGAAGAUAUUUCUAAUCCUGAUGUCACACUGAAUAUCUGCCCCCGUAAUUCUCUAACUGUCCUCUCAACAAGAUCACUCGCUGGCACAAGCACUGAAAAUAGAAAUGAAUGGUACAGGCGGGCUCCCAUUAAGACAUACACUUCCUAAAUUACCUUUUUUUUAUCACAUUUUCAAGUUGAAACCCAGGCAGUUUCAUAGAUAUCUCAUUCAGGAAAGAAAGACACC